Long non-coding RNA from Xiphophorus couchianus (Monterrey platyfish), 895 nucleotides. RefSeq lists it as uncharacterized. NCBI's taxonomy places the organism in Eukaryota, Metazoa, Chordata, Actinopteri, Cyprinodontiformes, Poeciliidae. The record is from RefSeq and is a predicted model, not a curated record. The transcript is spliced from 3 exons.
UAACCCCACCCUCUGUGUGGAGGUUAAAGUGCAUUCAGCGAUGAAUCGGAUCAGCAGCUGUUGUUCUGUGAGCUUCUCCAGAGGUUAUGGUACAUUCAGAGCUCUGUGCAGUCAGACCACCUGCCUGCCUGCGUUACAGCAGCAGCACCAGAGACGGACAGGAAGUUUCACAAUAAAGCAGCAAGAUUUUGAGCAGAAAGCUGGGAGGCUGAAAUCUGCCGGCUGGAAUCGUCCUGCAGCUCCUGACGCUCUGCAAACGGAAAGACCGAGAUGAAGAGGAGGAAGAGGAAGAGGGAGAAGCACCCUGCCACUCAUCAUCCAAGGGCCGGCGAGCAUGGCUGCAGUCUGCAAGCCGUAGGUCACCAGAUCCAUGUUUAAUAACAAACCGUGGAGCAGCAGCGGAGGCCGACGCAGCGCCGUGCGUCGCCGGGCAGGAUGACAGCUCCUUAGCGACGGGAAGCGGUGCCGCUGCUUCAACCCGGUCCCUGCUGAAUGCAUCUGCCUCUCCUCCUUCUCUGCACUUAUGUUCAGUCACUUUGGGUCCAGUGAGUGUCAAGGCAGAGCACAUUUCAGCCCCCUUUAGACAGGGGGCGCUCCACCUGUCGGUAGGCAAUACCUAAAGCCCCUCCCACUAUCAAUAAUAAUAUGUAAAGAAAUAUCAACUUCUAUAAUCUUUUUCCUCCCUUUUAUUCAAUAUUUAAUAAUUAUUACAUUUGUUUAGCACAAGUGCUGCCUCAUCCUAGUCCUGUGACAAUAACAAAUUACGCUGGACAAUAAAUUGUCCCAGAAGUUACUGCGAUAAUCAUUAAUAUUGUUCUUUUGAGACUAUUUUCCAGUAAUAUAAUGGUAGUGGCAUAAUAAUGCAAGAACAAAUUCUCAAAAAUCAGUAACUUUC